GUAGGGUCCAAGCGUUAAUCGGAAUUACUGGGCGUAAAGCGUGCGCAGGCGGUUGUGCAAGACCGAUGUGAAAUCCCCGGGCUUAACCUGGGAAUUGCAUUGGUGACUGCACGGCUAGAGUGUGUCAGAGGGGGGUAGAAUUCCACGUGUAGCAGUGAAAUGCGUAGAGAUGUGGAGGAAUACCGAUGGCGAAGGCAGCCCCCUGGGAUAACACUGACGCUCAUGCACGAAGGCGUGGGGGGAGCAAACAGGAUUAGAUACCCUGGUAGUCCACGCCCCUAAACGAUGUCAACUAGUUGUUGGGGAUUCAUUUCCUUAGUAACGUAGCUAACGCGUGAAGUUGACCGCCCUGGGAGUACGGUCGCAAGAUUA
Molecule: ribosomal RNA, 372 nt
Filed under: uncultured organism
Description: partial 16S ribosomal RNA
Rfam family: Bacterial small subunit ribosomal RNA
Source: RNAcentral